UAAUUGCAGAGGCCUUAAAGGGCCUUAAAGAGGGGUCAGCGCCCAGGCCUUGUCCCUGAAGCAUGGGUGGUGACCCUGCAGCUAGCGGUGCAUCUGUGCAUCUCAAGCUUUGGAAAACACCAAGGGCUGUCUUCCCUAUUGGACUAAAACCUCCCUGGAUGAAAGAGAUGACAAGGUUUGCCCAUGCCCAGCAGACAUGCCCAUGGAAUGAAAGAUAAAUGCCUGCCCUGUCCUCCUCUGGUGCUUCAGGAGCCUGUCUGAUGGGACAACGGAACAUGCACAUGGGCAGAGGUGAUGCACAUAUCAUCACGUCACAUCACACGUGUCUGCUCGGUCCCUGCUGCCCUGACCCUGCUUCACACACCGUGUUCACCAUGGCCAUGAGCACAGAAUUCUGGUGGACCCUCUAUGUGUGGGAAUUCAAGACCCAAGGUGAAGACAAGCGUUGUGAGUUCGAUUCCUGGUUGGGAGGCAAAGAUCCCAUGCACCUCGUGGCCAAAAUACCAAAUCACAAAAUAGAAGCAAUAUUGUAACAAACUCAAUAAAGACUUUUAAAAUGG
This is a long non-coding RNA of Bubalus bubalis (water buffalo), 560 nucleotides long. RefSeq lists it as uncharacterized. Lineage: Eukaryota; Metazoa; Chordata; Mammalia; Artiodactyla; Bovidae. The record is from RefSeq and is a predicted model, not a curated record. The transcript is spliced from 4 exons.